Molecule: ribosomal RNA, 468 nt
Filed under: uncultured bacterium
Lineage: Bacteria
Description: partial 16S ribosomal RNA
Rfam family: Bacterial small subunit ribosomal RNA
Source: RNAcentral
UACUAACUCUGGCGGCGUGCUUAACACAUGCAAGUCGAACGGAAAGGCCCUACCUUUGUGGGGUGCUCGAGUGGCGAACGGGUGAGUAACACGUGAGUAACCUGCCCUUCACUUUGGGAUAAGCUUAGGAAACUGGGCCUAAUACCGGAUAUGAGCUCCCGCCUCAUGGGGUGUGUUGGAAAGUUUCUGCGUUUUGGAUUGGGCGCCCGGCUUAUCAGCUUGUUGGUGGGGUAUUGGCUUACCAAGGCGCGGACGGGUAGCCGGCCUGAGAGGGUGACCGGCCACAUUGGGACUGAGAUACGGCCCAGACUCCUACGGGAGGCAGCAGUGGGGAAUAUUGCACAAUGGGCGGAAGCCUGAUGCAGCGACGCCGCGUGAGGGAUGACGGCCUUCGGGUUGUAAACCGCUUUCGGCUGGGACGAAGCGUGAGUGACGGUACCUGCAGAAGAAGCACCGGCUAACUAUGUG